UUCUUUCUAUUUAUAGAGGACCUUCCCGUUAUAGAGUUUAACAAAAAACUUAUGCAGCAAAAUGUUCACUUUUGGAAAAAUUCAUUUUUGAAGUAACAAAAAGAAAAUAUCCAAUAACAUUUUCACUUUAGAGAAAACGUACUUUGGAGUUACCAAAACGUUAGGUAGCAACCAUUGUUUUCACUUUGAGGAUAAUUCUUUCGAAGGCAACUCAAGUUCGAUUCGUCGUCUAUGAUUUUCUACGAGCUCAUACAAGCAUCCAAGGUAUAUAUUUAUUAAGAACUCACGGGUCAGUGAUCGGAAGCCGUGAGUUCAAGUUGUAGUAAUUGUAUAUAAGUAGGUUUUGGGUUGUUUUCUUAUGGUAUGGAGAUUGGCGGGGUUUGGUAGCUCGUGUAGAGCUUGGUUGUUGUUAAAAGGAGGUCGGGUGUGGAGUACACCAUUGCACAUAGUAUCGGGAGCUCGUCGCUCUUUGAUUGCUUGAUAAUAGUGUUAGAAUAGAUGUGGUAUUUUGAUGAUGUUGAUAUUAUUGUUGAUGUUUUGGGAUUGAAUUGGAGUUUGGAUGGAGUAAGAUAUGUAGGGGAAAUGCUGCCCGAUUUCUGAUAGAUGUCUUGUUAGCUUAAGAUGAGAUUGUAAAGGUGUGACAAGUAUAAUUGGGACGAAUCUAUGUAUAUAUGUGUUGAUCAUGGACUCGCAGGUUCGGGAAGCCGACAUUGAGUGUUAAAGUCGAUAAGGGAAAUGAAAAGGGCUAUGGCGUUAUGUACGCACACCACCUGAUCAGCCACGAUGAUUAUGAUACCCGAAGGGGUUGCCCGACGGGGCCGAUAUGCUAUUAUGCCCGAAGGGGCCACGAGCAGGGUAAAGGUUGCAUUUUAUAUAUAUAUAUAUAUAUUUGUGUGUGUGUGUAUGUGUGUUUUGAAAGUUAUUUGCAUAUUCAUGAUUCUCAGUGACGGUCACAGGUACAGAUAGAGUUUGUUACUCUUCUUACUAUUUAAAUUGUGAUGUAUACUGUUUUAUUUCCAUCUUACAUACUCGGUACAUUAUUUCGUACUGAUAUCCUUUUGCCUGGAGACGUUGCGUUCAUGCCCGCAGUCCCAGAUUGUUUGACAGGAAAGUUAUACAGAUGAGGACUGUAGAGUAUCAGCUUGGAUUGGUGAGCUGUACUUCAUUCGGGAGCAUUACCGAGUCAGUUUUGUUUAUGUAUAGCAGAUUACGGGUAUGUUGGGGCCUUGGUCCGACUUAUGUGUUCAGUUAUGUAUUCUUAGAGACUUUGCAGACAGCGUCCUGUGUAUAGUACAUCGAGAUGUCUAUAGUGGUUCAAAGCGGCCAUGUAGGCUGAUGUGAUUACAUGCAUUACUUAAAUGAGUUUUUAUUUAAGGUUUCCCUUGUUUAUAAAAGUUUUAUUAAAAGGCUUUCUUGAUUUAGUAUGA
Molecule: long non-coding RNA, 1427 nt
Organism: Lycium barbarum (goji berry)
Lineage: Eukaryota; Viridiplantae; Streptophyta; Magnoliopsida; Solanales; Solanaceae
Exons: 2
Source: RefSeq, a predicted model, not a curated record